Molecule: ribosomal RNA, 237 nt
Filed under: uncultured bacterium
Lineage: Bacteria
Description: partial 16S ribosomal RNA
Rfam family: Bacterial small subunit ribosomal RNA
Source: RNAcentral
CGAACGGGUGAGUAACGCGUGAGGAACCUGCCUCAAAGAGGGGGACAACAGUUGGAAACGACUGCUAAUACCGCAUAAGCCCACGGCUCGGCAUCGAGCAGAGGGGAAAGGAGUGAUCCGCUUUGAGAUGGCCUCGCGUCCGAUUAGCUAGUUGGUGAGGUAACGGCCCACCAAGGCGACGAUCGGUAGCCGGACUGAGAGGUUGAACGGCCACAUUGGGACUGAGACACGGCCCAG